UAAUACAGAGGUGGCAAGCGUUGUUCGGAAUUACUGGGCGUAAAGGGCGCGUAGGCGGUCUUGCAAGUCCCGUGUGAAAUCCCUCGGCUCAACUGAGGAACUGCACGGGAAACUGCUUGGCUUGAGUUCGGGAGAGGGAAGCGGAAUUCCGGGUGUAGCGGUGAAAUGCGUAGAUAUCCGGAGGAACACCGGUGGCGAAGGCGGCUUCCUGGACCGACACUGACGCUGAGGCGCGAAAGCUAGGGGAGCAAACGGGAUUAGAUACCCCGGUAGUCCUAGCUGUAAACGAUGAGUGCUGGGUGUAGAGGGUAUUAACCCCUUCUGUGCCGAAGCUAACGCAUUAAGCACUCCGCCUGGGGAGUACGGUCGCAAGGCUG
RNAcentral lists this ribosomal RNA (377 nucleotides) under uncultured bacterium. RNAcentral's name for it is "bacterial SSU rRNA". It matches the Rfam family "Bacterial small subunit ribosomal RNA", at positions 521 to 896 of the family's 1533-position model. The record is from RNAcentral.